Molecule: small nucleolar RNA, 134 nt
Organism: Larimichthys crocea (large yellow croaker)
Lineage: Eukaryota; Metazoa; Chordata; Actinopteri; Sciaenidae
Source: Ensembl
GCUGAGGCCUGUCCCGACAGACCUUUACCCGUAGGCCCACGUCGUUGGAAAUGCCUCGCAUAUUAAAUCUGUGGUUUCGCUUUACCCACAUGUCCACUGCCAUGAGCUCUGUGGGAUAUUACUGCAGAACAUCA